Molecule: ribosomal RNA, 823 nt
Filed under: uncultured Verrucomicrobium sp.
Lineage: Bacteria; Pseudomonadati; Verrucomicrobiota; Verrucomicrobiia; Verrucomicrobiales; Verrucomicrobiaceae
Description: bacterial SSU rRNA
Rfam family: Bacterial small subunit ribosomal RNA
Source: RNAcentral
AUUAGUUUGAUCCUGGCUCAGAACGAACGCUGGCGGCGUGGAUAAGACAUGCAAGUCGAGCGGGAGUUUGUGGAUAGCAAUAUUUGCAAGCUCUAGCGGCGGAAGGGUGCGUAACACGUGGGUAAUUUACCGUAAGGGCUGGAAUAACUUGCUGAAAGGCGAGCUAAUACCGGAUGUGACUGCUGGGAGGCAUCUCUUGGUAGUUGAAGCUGGGGACCGCAAGGCCUGGCGCUUUACGAUAAGCCCGCGGCCUAUCAGCUAGUUGGCGGGGUAACGGCCCACCAAGGCUAAGACGGGUAGCUGGUCUGAGAGGACGACCAGCCACACUGGAACUGAGACACGGUCCAGACACCUACGGGUGGCAGCAGUCGAGAAUUUUUCACAAUGGGCGAAAGCCUGAUGGAGCGACGCCGCGUGGGGGAUGAAUGGCUUCGGUCCGUAAACCCCUGUCAUUCGGGAACAAUGCCUGUCCAAUAAUAUUGGGCGGGUUGAUAGUACUGGAAGAGGAAGGGACGGCUAACUCUGUGCCAGCAGCCGCGGUAAUACAGAGGUCCCAAGCGUUGUUCGGAUUCACUGGGCGUAAAGGGUGCGUAGGUUGCCAGGUAAGUCUGAUGUGAAAUCUCGAAGCCUAACUUCGAAACUGCAUCGGAUACUAUCUGGCUAGAGGUCUGGAGGGGGGACUGGAAUUCUCGGUGUAGCAGUGAAAUGCGUAGAUAUCGAGAGGAACGCCAAUGGCGAAGGCUAGUCCCUGGACAGAUCCUGACACUGAGGCACGAAAGCUAGGGGAGCAAACAGGAUUAGAUACCCUGGUAGUCCUAGCCGU